Molecule: small nuclear RNA, 110 nt
Organism: Psammomys obesus (fat sand rat)
Lineage: Eukaryota; Metazoa; Chordata; Mammalia; Rodentia; Muridae
Source: RefSeq, a predicted model, not a curated record
GUGCUUGCUUCAGCAGCACAUACGUUAAAAUUGGAAUGGUACAGAGAAGAUUGUACCAUUGGCCCCUGCGCAAGGACGACACGCAAAUUCAUGAAGCGUUCCAUAUUUUU